Molecule: unclassified non-coding RNA, 384 nt
Filed under: fungal sp.
Lineage: Eukaryota; Fungi
Description: partial internal transcribed spacer region
Rfam family: Eukaryotic small subunit ribosomal RNA (bases 1-46)
Source: RNAcentral
AAGUCGUAACAAGGUUUCCGUAGGUGAACCUGCGGAAGGAUCAUUAACACGUAUCCAACGUUAAACCCCCCUGUGAAUUUUAUCGCAGCUCUUGCAGAUGCCGGUAAGUUUGCAAUCCCUGGUAAAUCAUUGUUGAACAGAUUUUGAUUCAGGGACCUCUAACACCGACAGCUGCAAUUCGAGCGCUUGUGCAAGUGGAGUGUCUGAAAGUGUCGCUGGUUGUGUAAGGAAAACGCUUUACGAUCACUGGAGGCCGACACGGCCGGUGACCGGGCUGCUGUGGCUAUAUGCCCCCUAUAUUUACCCCACUACCUGAACUUGGGUCGCAGGAAACUGCUUCCCCUUAAAUCUGAACAACUGUUAACAAUGGAUAUCUUGGUUCUC